AGAUAAGUGUUUGUUUGCAUGUAGCAUUUGCAUCAAGCCAAACUGACGACUUUUUUAAAACAAAGAUCUCACGGAUCCCUCUCAGCGAGCAAAACCUGAGACAUUGCAGCAAAACCCCAAAACUCAGCACAGUCCACAUCAGCAGUAUCCCGAACAGGAUCUUCCCAUCUGAGGGAGCGACGCACAGUGGUGGAGGACACCAAGCAGGCCAAACCUGACCCACACACAAUCAACCCUUCUGGAACACACCGAGCUCUCCGAAUCCCAGGCGGUGCCCGUGCUCCCUGGCAGGGAAGCAGAGCAUCAGCUGAGAAACUCACGGCUGAGCCAGCUUGAGAAUAUUGGACCGGCUUAUCGGGUGACACGCCA
Sinocyclocheilus grahami is the source of this 369-nucleotide long non-coding RNA. RefSeq lists it as uncharacterized. The transcript has 3 exons. Lineage: Eukaryota; Metazoa; Chordata; Actinopteri; Cypriniformes; Cyprinidae. The record is from RefSeq and is a predicted model, not a curated record.